Lachnoclostridium sp. An131 is the source of this 340-nucleotide non-coding RNA. It matches the Rfam family "transfer-messenger RNA". From Rfam's summary of the family: Bacterial tmRNA, also known as 10Sa RNA or SsrA, is named for its dual tRNA and mRNA-like properties. The record is from Rfam. NCBI's taxonomy places the organism in Bacteria, Bacillati, Bacillota, Clostridia, Lachnospirales, Lachnospiraceae.
GGGCUUGUACUGGUUUCGACGGGGGUCUCGCAGCUGGUGAAGCUAUCCGCAGGCGAUGCGUCAAAUCGCAAACCUAAAUAUAAACGCUGAAGAUAAUUUAGCAUACGCUGCCUAAUGGCAGCUGUCGGCCUUAGGGCACCUGCACCUUAAGAGUCCGGCAUCGACGAUGCAGGAAACGACAUGCGUUAAGCUUUGCGCGCAUGGGCGUAUGAUGAAGCUACUGAAGCUGUCAGGGUGUCCGUUCCCGGGCAGCGGAGGGAAUGUCAAAUAACUGACUAUGAUAGUAGAAGAACAGGGAACAGGCUUUCGGACGCGGGUUCGAUUCCCGCCAGGUCCAUAA